CAAGUGCCAGAGGACGACUUGUCAUUUCUUGACGCUGUAAAUCUGGUUUCGAAGCUAACAAAUUCCCUUGCUGAAUUAAUAUUUGAUCCAAAUAACUGCACCUUGGUUAAUUACAUUGGAGGGAUCAAUCAACGAGCAAUGUCUUUCUUGGAGGAUCAAUUCAGGUUGCUUCUUGAAGAUUAUAAAAGCAAUAAUGAGGUAGAUCAG
Molecule: unclassified non-coding RNA, 207 nt
Filed under: Hevea brasiliensis (rubber tree)
Lineage: Eukaryota; Viridiplantae; Streptophyta; Magnoliopsida; Malpighiales; Euphorbiaceae
Source: RNAcentral